GGUCUCCCAGUGCUUACCACAGGCUGUGUCCUUACACUGGCUGGAUAGGAAGAGGAGGCAGAACAGACCUUCCCCAUACACUCCAGCCAAGGCCCUGUGCUUCGUGCCUGGUCUGUAUUGUGAAUGGGGGGACAUGC
This is a small nucleolar RNA of Ochotona princeps (American pika), 137 nucleotides long. RefSeq annotates it as small nucleolar RNA SNORA51. The record is from RefSeq and is a predicted model, not a curated record. NCBI's taxonomy places the organism in Eukaryota, Metazoa, Chordata, Mammalia, Lagomorpha, Ochotonidae. The transcript has a single exon.